This 252-nucleotide ribosomal RNA is filed under the name uncultured prokaryote. RNAcentral describes it as "partial 16S ribosomal RNA". It matches the Rfam family "Bacterial small subunit ribosomal RNA", at positions 525 to 775 of the family's 1533-position model. The record is from RNAcentral.
ACGUAGGAGACUAGCGUUACCCGGAUUUACUGGGCGUAAAGCGCGUGCAGGCGGUUCAGCAAGUUGGAUGUGAAAGCGCCCAGGCUUAACCGGGCGAGGACAAUGAAGACUGGUCAGCUAGAGGACGGUAGAGGGGUGUGGAAUUCCGGGUGUAGUGGUGAAAUGCGUAGAGAUCCGGAGGAACACCAGUGGCGAAGGCGAUUCGCUGGGCCUACUCUGACGCUCAGACGCGACAGCAUGGGGAGCGAACGG